GACGAACGCUGGCGGCGUGCCUAAUACAUGCAAGUCGAGCGAAGUUUUUCUGGUGCUUGCACUAGAAAAACUUAGCGGCGCACGGGUGAGUAACACGUAAAGAACCUGCCUCAUAGACUGGGACAACUAUUGGAAACGAUAGCUAAUACCGGAUAACAGCAUUAACUGCAUGGUUGAUGUUUAAAAGUUGGUUUUGCUAACACUAUGAGAUGGCUUUGCGGUGCAUUAGCUAGUUGGUGGGGUAAAGGCCUACCAAGGCGACGAUGCAUAGCCGACCUGAGAGGGUGAUCGGCCACACUGGGACUGAGACACGGCCCAGACUCCUACGGGAGGCAGCAGUAGGGAAUCUUCCACAAUGGGCGAAAGCCUGACGUAGCAACGCCGCGUGAGUGAAGAAGGAUUUCGGUUCGUAAAGCUCUGUUGUUAGGGAAGAAUGAUUGUAUAGUAACAAUACACAGUAGAGACGGUACCUAACCAGAAAGCCACGGCUAACUACGUG
Molecule: ribosomal RNA, 499 nt
Filed under: uncultured bacterium
Lineage: Bacteria
Description: partial 16S ribosomal RNA
Rfam family: Bacterial small subunit ribosomal RNA
Source: RNAcentral